GAUGAACGCUGGCGGCGUGCCUAAUACAUGCAAGUCGAGCGAAUGGAUUAAGAGCUUGCUCUUAUGAAGUUAGCGGCGGACGGGUGAGUAACACGUGGGUAACCUGCCCAUAAGACUGGGAUAACUCCGGGAAACCGGGGCUAAUACCGGAUAACAUUUUGAACCGCAUGGUUCGAAAUUGAAAGGCGGCUUCGGCUGUCACUUAUGGAUGGACCCGCGUCGCAUGAGCUAGUUGGUGAGGUAACGGCUCACCAAGGCAACGAUGCGUAGCCGACCUGAGAGGGUGAUCGGCCACACUGGGACUGAGACACGGCCCAGACUCCUACGGGAGGCAGCAGUAGGGAAUCUUCCGCAAUGGACGAAAGUCUGACGGAGCAACGCCGCGUGAGUGAUGAAGGCUUUCGGGUCGUGAAACUCUGUUGUUAGGGAAGAACAAGUGCUAGUUGAAUAAGCUGGCACCUUGACGGUACCUAACCAGAAAGCCACGGCUAACUACGUGCCAGCAGCCGCCGUAA
RNAcentral lists this ribosomal RNA (515 nucleotides) under uncultured bacterium. RNAcentral describes it as "partial 16S ribosomal RNA". It matches the Rfam family "Bacterial small subunit ribosomal RNA", at positions 28 to 523 of the family's 1533-position model. The record is from RNAcentral.